Molecule: ribosomal RNA, 514 nt
Filed under: uncultured delta proteobacterium
Lineage: Bacteria; Deltaproteobacteria
Description: partial 16S ribosomal RNA
Source: RNAcentral
UUACCGCGGCUGCUGGCACGAAGUUAGCCGGUGCUUCCUUUGAUAGUACCGUCAAAUACAAGGCCUAUUAGACCAUGUACCGUUCUUCUUAUCUGACAGAGCUUUACGACCCGAGGGCCUUCCUCACUCACGCGGCGUUGCUGCGUCAGGGUUUCCCCCAUUGCGCAAUAUUCCCCACUGCUGCCUCCCGUAGGAGUCUGGACCGUGUCUCAGUUCCAGUGUGACUGAUCAUCCUCUCAGACCAGUUAUACAUCGUCGCCUUGGUAGGCCAUUACCCCACCAACAAGCUAAUGUAGCGCAGGCCCAUCUAACAGCGAAUGCCGAAGCAUCCUUUCAAAUUACUUUCGUAUGCGGUAUUAGCCAGAAUUUCUUCUGGUUAUCCCCCACUGUAAGGCAGGUUACCUACGUGUUACUCACCCGUGCGCCACUCUACUCACACCCGAAGGUGCUUUCUCGUUCGACUUGCAUGUGUUAAGCACGCCGCCAGCGUUCGUUCUGAGCCAUGAUCAAACUC